RNAcentral lists this ribosomal RNA (253 nucleotides) under uncultured bacterium. RNAcentral's name for it is "partial 16S ribosomal RNA". It matches the Rfam family "Bacterial small subunit ribosomal RNA", at positions 524 to 776 of the family's 1533-position model. The record is from RNAcentral.
UACGAAGGGGGCUAGCGUUGCUCGGAAUCACUGGGCGUAAAGGGUGCGUAGGCGGGUCUUUAAGUCAGGGGUGAAAUCCUGGAGCUCAACUCCAGAACUGCCUUUGAUACUGAGGAUCUUGAGUUCGGGAGAGGUGAGUGGAACUGCGAGUGUAGAGGUGAAAUUCGUAGAUAUUCGCAAGAACACCAGUGGCGAAGGCGGCUCACUGGCCCGAUACUGACGCUGAGACGCGAAAGCGUGGGGAGCAAACAGG